This is a long non-coding RNA of Xenopus tropicalis (tropical clawed frog), 298 nucleotides long. RefSeq lists it as uncharacterized. Lineage: Eukaryota; Metazoa; Chordata; Amphibia; Anura; Pipidae. The record is from RefSeq and is a predicted model, not a curated record. The transcript has 3 exons.
ACGUGUCGGUCUUUCUGUGCGGAGCUGGGAGGGAGGGAGUCGCACUGUGGGAGCUGGAACAGCAGCGUUGGGGGAAUGGCGCCUCCCUGCCUGUGGGGCCUCAGGUCGGUGAGAAGCUGUUGGACCCCCGGUUCCGGUGAAAAGUCACAAUAUCUGCCUCCACUUGUUGGGAAUCCGAAGGGCCACAGAUGGGAUCACAAGGACGGUGGUGAUGGUAUAGAUUGUGUGCCCAGAACAUUCCUUCUCUGUAUAUUUGUAUUUAUACAUAUGGGUAGGGGGUGCCAUAGUGUUUCCCUUA